This is a long non-coding RNA of Nestor notabilis (Kea), 217 nucleotides long. RefSeq lists it as uncharacterized. The record is from RefSeq and is a predicted model, not a curated record. NCBI's taxonomy places the organism in Eukaryota, Metazoa, Chordata, Aves, Psittaciformes, Psittacidae. The transcript has 3 exons.
GGAAGCUCGAAGAAGAUGAUAUGUAUAAAGUGCUGCCAGAAGACUCCUCAGAGAAGCUUGGAGAAGAAUUGCAGUGGUACUGGGAUAAAGAGGUGCAAAAAGCAAAAAAGAGAGGAAAAAUGCCACAUUUAACAAAAGCCAUUAUUCUUUGUUACUGGAAAUCCUAUUUAGUUUUUGGAAUUUUCACAAUGAUUGAGGAAACCCUCAAAAUAAUUCA